UCAUCCUGCAAGGCAGAGUUGUCAGUGAAAUCAAUCAAGUCUUUGUUUGGAAGCAUUUGGGACAGCCCAUACUGUGGUGGUCCUGCAAUGGAGGAGAGAUGUGGGCUGUGCUGACUCAGAAGACAGGUGCUUGUUGCAUCCAUUGGGGAAGGAGCAGUGCACCUUAGGAGCAGGAUGUGGGUUUUGGUGGGAGAAGUCUUGCAGAGCCUCUAGAAGAAAGUCAGGGAGGGAAAAAGAAGACAUGAGGUGGACUUGGAGCUGAGGACAUCCUGGUUCCUCUUACUGUGUGGGAAGCUUGUGCCAGGCAGGAUAGUGCUGUUAAUGUGACUGUUUGAAGAGAGUUGGGAAGGCAUGAGCCGUAGGUAGAGAUAGCAGCAGUCCUGAGAGGAGUUUUCGGGGGGGGACGACUGACAGCUGUUUAAAAACUCACAUAGAUGUUUACUCACUUGCUCCUGCUUGACGUGCCUGACUCAUCCAUCCCUGUCUGAACAUACCAGUUCCCAUUUUUUCUCUUCUCUCCUUUUGUUAACCUCAUCUUUCCUAUUCUUCAAGCUUCCUUUUGUAGCUGGGUUUCAUUCUGUUAGAUCCAGUUGAUUUGGCUUCUGCUCUGCCUGGGCUUUGCACCUGCUACAGCCCCAGCAAACUUGGCAGCAACCCUUCGGCUCUGCAGAGAAAACAACUGUCUAGACCAGGAACGUUCUGCCUGAUGCCCUGGACGGACCCCAGGCACUAAUCUGCAUCCACAACGGCGCGUUGUUGUGUCUGUUGCAAAAGAUGGAUAAAAUCUUUGUGGACUCCUAAUUGCACCUUUAGCCUCCUGGUAUUGAACGCAUCCCCGUGCCUCUGGGGGGCAACGUGGCUUCUGCUGACGUGU
This 874-nucleotide long non-coding RNA is filed under the name Gallus gallus (chicken). RNAcentral's name for it is "long non-coding RNA NONGGAT003505". Lineage: Eukaryota; Metazoa; Chordata; Aves; Galliformes; Phasianidae. The record is from RNAcentral.